GAUGAACGCUGGCGGCGUGCCUACAACAUGCAAGUCGAGCGAACAGACGAGGAGCUUGCUCCUCUGACGUUAGCGGCGGACGGGUGAGUAACACGUGGAUAACCUACCUAUAAGACUGGGAUAACUGCGGGAAACCGGAGCUAAUACCGGAUAAUAUAUUGAACCGCAUGGUUCAAUAGUGAAAGACGGUUUUGCUGUCACUUAUAGAUGGAUCCGCGCCGCAUUAGCUAGUUGGUAAGGUAACGGCUUACCAAGGCAACGAUGCGUAGCCGACCUGAGAGGGUGAUCGGCCACACGGGAACUGAGACACGGUCCAGACGCCUACGGGAGGCAGCAGUAGGGAAUCUUCCGCAAUGGGCGGAAGCCUGACGGAGCAGCGCCGCGUGAGUGAUGAAGGUCUUCGGAUCGUAAAACUCUGUUAUUAGGGAAGAACAAAUGUGUAAGUAACUAUGCACGUCUUGACGGUACCUAAUCAGAAAGCCACGGCUAAUUACGUG
This 497-nucleotide ribosomal RNA is filed under the name uncultured bacterium. RNAcentral describes it as "partial 16S ribosomal RNA". It matches the Rfam family "Bacterial small subunit ribosomal RNA", at positions 28 to 507 of the family's 1533-position model. The record is from RNAcentral.